RNAcentral lists this transfer RNA (73 nucleotides) under Salmo salar (Atlantic salmon). It matches the Rfam family "tRNA". Rfam says of the family: Transfer RNA (tRNA) molecules are approximately 80 nucleotides in length. Their secondary structure includes four short double-helical elements and three loops (D, anti-codon, and T loops). The record is from Rfam by way of RNAcentral. Lineage: Eukaryota; Metazoa; Chordata; Actinopteri; Salmoniformes; Salmonidae.
GCCCCUGUAGCUCAGUUGGUUGAGCAUGGUGCUUGCAACGCCAGGGUUGUGGGUUCGAUUCCCACGGGGGACC